CUUGCUCAACUUUGACCAAAUACUUCCUGCUGUGCUAAAGCUUUCGUGGUUCUUGCUAAUUAUGGGUUGGGUGUACGAUCACAGUUUGAGUUAACGUCAAACAAAGGAAACCAAGUUAGUUGAGUCAAGGGAACGGGCUUAGUGUUUCUGUCAGUUUCAUUUACCCAGAAGCUAUGGCUACUGAGCAGAACACAGAAGAUUUUCUGGACAACAGUCAGGUUUUCAGAAGAAAUGCUUUCCUACUUAUUAAAAAAAUGAUGGAAAUGACUACACGCACUCAAGAAGACACUUCUGAAUUGGUGGAUGAGAUUUUUCAUAGCAUCUUCUUUUUGGGGGAGAUUAAUAGACCAGCAUUUUCUCCCAGAGAACUUUUGGAUGAUGAUGAGGACUUACUUAGGGGCUUAAUGAAAGACCAUCCGGAGCCUUUCAGACUUUAUUUUUCUCAGCUACCUAGGCUCAGCUACCUUUUCAUGUCUGCUGGACAUGGUUGUUAACCUGGAGGGACGAGAGAAUGAAGAUGCAAUAAGAACGAGACUGCAAGAAAUCACCCUUGUGUUGAUGAAAAAUGCUCCUAAAAAAAGAAAUAAAUACAAAAAUAAGAAAGUGCUGUUCUCCUCCACGCUCUGCGUCUCUCGUGCAAACAACACAGAUUCAGUGAGGCACUACGGAGUUUCUAUGUCCACCACUGGUCCCAAUGCUGGCAGAAUUAUGAUUGCUGCCUCCUGUUUGAGCUCAUACUGGGAUGAAUAUGUAGCUGAUGCAGUGAUGACCUACUAUCCUGAGAAUACGAAGAAGGAUUAUUUUGAUGGAACCAUCAAACUACCAGAAGGCGUCACAUGCACAGCAUAUAGCAUCAAGUCUGGGUCUGAAAUGCAGCCUUGCAAAGCAUGCGGAAAUCUUUUCAGCUUGAGCCCAGUUCCGGAAGAAAAAUAUCACAAAGAGAGUGACUACGGUCACUGUGCUGAAGUUGAGAGUCUGAGCAACUUGUUAAAACAUGAAAACGUUAAACCAACAUCUAACACAUUCACAAAGAACACAGAGGCCAGAACAUAUACUGAACGGAAGCUCAAAGAAAUUCUGAAAAUGAUUAAGUUUAAGACAUGGAGCAAUGAAUAUUACAGAGCAUCAAAAUCAUUGUUUCAUAGAGAGGACUGAUGCUGUACAAUGACUGUCUUUAAUCACAGGCUGGCUUCAUAUAUCUGUUAUGUGAUUCUUUAUUGAUUAAAUAAGCUUUACUAUACUCUUGAA
Molecule: long non-coding RNA, 1248 nt
Organism: Girardinichthys multiradiatus
Lineage: Eukaryota; Metazoa; Chordata; Actinopteri; Cyprinodontiformes; Goodeidae
Exons: 5
Source: RefSeq, a predicted model, not a curated record